RNAcentral lists this small RNA (216 nucleotides) under Jaculus jaculus (lesser Egyptian jerboa). RNAcentral describes it as "7SK RNA (ENSJJAG00000009264.1)". The stretch from base 1 to 189 matches the Rfam family "7SK RNA", at positions 83 to 331 of the family's 331-position model. Rfam says of the family: 7SK was discovered as an abundant small nuclear RNA in the mid-70s but a possible function has only recently been suggested. Two independent studies have found that 7SK RNA binds the CDK9/cyclin T complex (known as elongation factor P-TEFb). Lineage: Eukaryota; Metazoa; Chordata; Mammalia; Rodentia; Dipodidae. The record is from RNAcentral.
GGGUCCAUUCCUCCCUCAAGGCUCCAGAUGCGUCCCUCCUGAUGCUGAGUGUUCCUUCAAAGGGGACGCGCUUCCCCGAAUAGAGGAGGAGCCGGUUUCGGUCAAGCGUAGGGAGUAGCUGCGCUCCCUUGCUAGAACCUCCAAACAAGCCCUCAACUACUGAGGAUGAAGGCCUCCAUGAGUAGCCGUGCGUGGGAUUCAUUGGAGCAUUUUCUC